Long non-coding RNA from Cyprinodon tularosa, 600 nucleotides. RefSeq lists it as uncharacterized. Lineage: Eukaryota; Metazoa; Chordata; Actinopteri; Cyprinodontiformes; Cyprinodontidae. The transcript has 3 exons. The record is from RefSeq and is a predicted model, not a curated record.
UGUAUGGAGUAGCAGUAAAACGUCUAGAACUAAGAGAUCAUCUAACCCCUUAGCAGAGGUCAUCGCAGCACUUGCAAGGAAGUUGUAAAGAGUUGAAGCCAUCCAGCUCAUGGACCGUUUCCUCUGCAUGCCUUCAGUCCAGUUUUCCCUCCAGGAAGAAGACAUCGAACAGAAUGUGGUAUAUCACAGAGCCCUGAGCCUUGUAAGUGUCUCAUCACCUCCUUCCUCCUCCUCCUAUGCUCAUGUAUGGAAGAGCUAUGUGCUGUUUCCACAACAAACACUGCAGGAACCUUUGGUGCUCUGCUUUCUCACCACUUGUCAUCUCCGUCAACAUGCUCAACACCACCGCCAUCAUGCAGAAAAUAACCAGUGUAACUUGGCUUUCUACUGUAUCCAAGAUUCAUUUAAACCAUCAUUCUCUGUCUUUGCUUUUUUUAAUGGCAGGUCAGGGUCAGUAAUUUAUCUCCUGAGAAUGUUCUUCGCUUUCAUGGAACAGUAGGAUUGCAAUUCUUACUAGUUCUUUACUUUCUGAAUAUAAUCUGUAAUAAAGAUUUAAUGAGUUGAUACAUCAUGAUCUAGACAAACCCAUCAGCACUUUGU